Eubacterium plexicaudatum ASF492 is the source of this 134-nucleotide non-coding RNA. The record is from Rfam. NCBI's taxonomy places the organism in Bacteria, Bacillati, Bacillota, Clostridia, Eubacteriales, Eubacteriaceae.
UAGCCAGUGAAAGUCUGGUCAAGGUAAUCGCCAGUGAGCCUUGUAGCGAGCUUCCAAUGCUUUUGGGUGACCGAUUGUGUUGAAGCGAGGUAUGCCUGUGAGAAACAGGUGCAAAAUAGCAGUCCGUAACAUAA